This 1174-nucleotide long non-coding RNA is filed under the name Manihot esculenta (cassava). RNAcentral's name for it is "long non-coding RNA (MESC_LNC009134)". The record is from RNAcentral. Lineage: Eukaryota; Viridiplantae; Streptophyta; Magnoliopsida; Malpighiales; Euphorbiaceae.
ACUAGCCUGGAAUCUCUAAAACUCGCUCUAUCUACGGCACUAAGGCUGGUUCCCAGACCUGCCUGCUAACCGCUCAAACCUGAACAAGAACUCACUCUAACAACCCCUCCUAAACACCCUACGAGCCUGACAGCUGACAGCGAACUUCUAGGCAUUCUACUGGGUCCCCUCUGACACCUACCUUAGAUCCAUCCUGAACUCCGGACUACCGUGCGCUGCAGACGCAGGUAACCCCAGCAUCAGAAAGAGAAAACCAAACCAUCCCCCGAAUGACAUCCAGACACUCAAGUCUCGAACCGUCAAGUCGAGUGGCUGGCAUCUACUCUCAAGGACACUGGACUGAACCUUUGCUAAAGAUGAAUCCUACCCGGGUCUAACUAACCCAAAGAGGACACGCUAAGCCGAGAAGCUAUCAACUCAACUGCUCAAAGCUCCUAGAGCAACUAACGCAGAGCACACACGAGAGCUCACAAAACAACAGAACAGGAACAAGUGAGCAUACCUGGCAUCACUGUGUCCGCUGUGUCUGCUCCUCUACGUCCCUGGUGACUGGCCUGACCUACCUUCCUGGUAGCGAACCGCUGGGCUUGUACCACCCUGGGCGAAGUAGGACAGUCACGCGCAAAGUGCCCUUCUUGUCCACACGUGAAACAUGCUGUUGUCCGUGCAAGACACACUCCCUUAUGCGGCCUUCCACAGCUCACACAUUUGACUCUCCCUCUACCAGAACUUGAACCAACACCAUACCCCAGACUAGCCUUUCGUCCCUGCCACAACCUGUCUUUCUUCGCCUUUCGACGGCCUCUACCCUUCUUUUGCUCUCGUUUUGCAGCUGUGCUCAGAAUGGAGGGCUCAACUUCUCCUGAACUUGAGGUCUGAGAAUCCUUCGUCUGCACAACAUCUUCCGAGUUGCCCAUCCUUUCUUCAUCCAUAUUCACUUGCACACCUACAUCCCUCCUUCGCACAUCCAUCCUCUCUUCUCGCUUGCUGUCUCCGGACACUCUUCCUUGCUCCAUUCCUUCUUUGUUUCCCUCUCGCGACAUCGCAGGGUUCCUUGAGGCUUCCUUACUGCCAACUCCUCCUGACUGCACCCCUGGCAGAACGGGAGAAAAGGUGUCCGUACCUUCCCACUCAGAUGGAUCUGACUCCACAAACUGACUCGCACUUUGCNNNN